RNAcentral lists this transfer RNA (80 nucleotides) under Cordylochernes scorpioides. Its description in RNAcentral is "tRNA-Thr". The record is from RNAcentral. Lineage: Eukaryota; Metazoa; Arthropoda; Arachnida; Pseudoscorpiones; Chernetidae.
UUACCAGGCAGAUGCCACUAGUGGACAUGGCAUCUGCCCGGUAAGCGGAACAUUGUGGGUUCGAUUCCCAUCCCUGGAAA